AGUGAACGCUGGCGGUAGGCCUAACACAUGCAAGUCGAACGGCAGCACAGGAGAGCUUGCUCUCUGGGUGGCGAGUGGCGGACGGGUGAGGAAUACAUCGGAAUCUACUCUGUCGUGGGGGAUAACGUAGGGAAACUUACGCUAAUACCGCAUACGACCUACGGGUGAAAGCAGGGGACCUUCGGGCCUUGCGCGAUUGAAUGAGCCGAUGUCGGAUUAGCUAGUUGGCGGGGUAAAGGCCCACCAAGGCGACGAUCCGUAGCUGGUCUGAGAGGAUGAGCAGCCACACUGGAACCGAGACACGGUCCAGACUCCUACGGGAGGCAGCAGUGGGGAAUAUUGGACAAUGGGCGCAAGCCUGAUCCAGCCAUACCGCGUGGGUGAAGAAGGCCUUCGGGUUGUAAAGCUCUUUUGUUGGGAAAGAAAUCCAGCUGGCUAAUACCCGGUUGGGGUGACGGUACCCAAAGAAUAAGCACCGGCUAACUUCGUGCCAGCCGCCGCCGUAA
Molecule: ribosomal RNA, 506 nt
Filed under: uncultured bacterium
Lineage: Bacteria
Description: partial 16S ribosomal RNA
Rfam family: Bacterial small subunit ribosomal RNA
Source: RNAcentral